This 253-nucleotide ribosomal RNA is filed under the name uncultured bacterium. RNAcentral's name for it is "partial 16S ribosomal RNA". It matches the Rfam family "Bacterial small subunit ribosomal RNA", at positions 524 to 776 of the family's 1533-position model. The record is from RNAcentral.
UACGGAAGGGACAAGCGUUGUUCGGAAUUACUGGGCGUAAAGGGCGCGUAGGCGGUUCGGUAAGUCCUGUGUGAAAUCCCUCGGCUCAACUGAGGAACUGCACGGGAGACUGCCGGGCUUGAGUUCGGGAGAGGGAAGCGGAAUUCCGGGUGUAGCGGUGAAAUGCGUAGAUAUCCGGAGGAACACCGGUGGCGAAGGCGGCUUCCUGGACCGACACUGACGCUGAGGCGCGAAAGCUAGGGGAGCAAACGGG